GGAGAGCGCGCUAUCUGCAGUCGAAGAAGUGCAAUACUUAGUGGCAGACGGGUGAGUAACAUGUAGGUAUCUUCCCAUUGGUGAGGAAUAACACGAGGAAACUUGUGCUAAUACCUCAUAAGUCUUUACGGAGAAAGCUUUAUGCGCCGAUGGAUGAGCCUGCACUUGAUUAGUUUGUUGGUAGGGUAAUGGCCUACCAAGACAAUGAUCAAUAGCUGAUUUGAGAGGAUGAUCAGCCACAUUGGGACUGAGACACGGCCCAAACUCCUACGGGAGGCAGCAGUAGGGAAUCUUGCACAAUGGGGGAAACCCUGAUGCAGCGAUGCCGCGUGAGUGAAGAAGGCCUUUGGGUUGUAAAGCUCUUUCGUCGGGGAAGAAAAUGACUGUACCCGAAUAAGAAGGUCCGGCUAACUUCGUGCCAGCAGCCGCGGUAAUACGAAGGGACCUAGCGUAGUUCGGAAUUACUGGGCUUAAAGAGUUCGUAGGUGGUUAAAAAAGUUGGUGGUGAAAUCCCAGAGCUUAACUCUGGAACUGCCAUCAAAACUUUUUAGCUAGAGUAUGAUAGAGGAAAGCAGAAUUUCUAGUGUAGAGGUGAAAUUCGUAGAUAUUAGAAAGAAUACCGAUUGCGAAGGCAGCUUUCUGGAUCAUUACUGACACUGAGGAACGAAAGCAUGGGUAGCGAAGAGGAUUAGAUACCCUCGUAGUCCAUGCCGUAAACGAUGUGUGUUAGACGUUGGAAAUUUAUUUUCUGUGUCGCAGCGAAAGCAAUAAACACACCGCCUGGGGAGUACGACCGCAAGGUUAAAACUCAAAUGAAUUGACGGGGACCCGCAC
This 834-nucleotide ribosomal RNA is filed under the name uncultured marine bacterium. Its description in RNAcentral is "bacterial SSU rRNA". It matches the Rfam family "Bacterial small subunit ribosomal RNA", at positions 41 to 926 of the family's 1533-position model. The record is from RNAcentral.